GGAUGUUGCCUGGAUGGCGUAACUGCAGCUCAGGGUCCAAACAGGGCAGGAUGUUUGGAAUCAAGUGACCACACUUCAGUGGACCUUUCUCCAACAAGGCCAGACACUAGAGGGGCAUGUGUGACUGCUACCUAUGGGUGCUGCAAUGAUGGGGUGACCCCAGCAGCCGGCACCAAUGGGGAAAGCUGUCCCAGUCCUCCUACCAAUGCCCACAGACCAGAGUGUUUCCUGCCUUCCAACGCUGGCUCAUGUAGUGAUUGGACCUCCCGCUUUUACUAUGACAUCACCACUAGCAGCUGUGUGCAUUUCUGGUUCGGUGGCUGCCACGGCAACCGUAAUAACUUUGUCACAAAAGAGGAGUGCCAGAGGCAUUGUCAGAGUGAAGUGCUGAGCCAGCAACCACCCAUCCUGGUGUCUAGGGGGGGCCCAACCCACAGCCCAACAGGAAGUGUGAGGAGAAUAGUCCCGGCACUGCCUGGUUCCA
Long non-coding RNA from Megalops cyprinoides (Indo-Pacific tarpon), 484 nucleotides. RefSeq lists it as uncharacterized. Lineage: Eukaryota; Metazoa; Chordata; Actinopteri; Elopiformes; Megalopidae. The record is from RefSeq and is a predicted model, not a curated record. The transcript is spliced from 3 exons.